GCCUCUAAGCAUCAGGUAACAUCAAAUCGUACCCCAAACCGACACAGGUGGUCAGGUAGAGAAUACCAAGGCGCUUGAGAGAACUCGGGUGAAGGAACUAGGCAAAAUGGUGCCGUAACUUCGGGAGAAGGCACGCUGACACGUAGGUGAAGUGAUUUACUCAUGGAGCUGAAGUCAGUCGAAGAUACCAGCUGGCUGCAACUGUUUAUUAAAAACACAGCACUGUGCAAACACGAAAGUGGACGUAUACGGUGUGACGCCUGCCCGGUGCCGGAAGGUUAAUUGAUGGGGUCAGCGCAAGCGAAGCUCCUGAUCGAAGCCCCGGUAAACGGCGGCCGUAACUAUAACGGUCCUAAGGUAGCGAAAUUCCUUGUCGGGUAAGUUCCGACCUGCACGAAUGGCGUAAUGAUGGCCAGGCUGUCUCCACCCGAGACUCAGUGAAAUUGAACUCGCUGUGAAGAUGCAGUGUACCCGCGGCAAGACGGAAAGACCCCGUGAACCUUUACUAUAGCUUGACACUGAACAUUGAGCCUUGAUGUGUAGGAUAGGUGGGAGGCUUUGAAGUGUGGACGCCAGUCUGCAUGGAGCCGACCUUGAAAUACCACCCUUUAAUGUUUGAUGUUCUAACGUGGACCCGUAAUCCGGGUUGCGGACAGUGUCUGGUGGGUAGUUUGACUGGGGCGGUCUCCUCCUAAAGAGUAACGGAGGAGCACGAAGGUUGGCUAAUCCUGGUCGGACAUCAGGAGGUUAGUGCAAUGGCAUAAGCCAGCUUGACUGCGAGCGUGACGGCGCGAGCAGGUGCGAAAGCAGGUCAUAGUGAUCCGGUGGUUCUGAAUGGAAGGGCCAUCGCUCAACGGAUAAAAGGUACUCCGGGGAUAACAGGCUGAUACCGCCCAAGAGUUCAUAUCGACGGCGGUGUUUGGCACCUCGAUGUCGGCUCAUCACAUCCUGGGGCUGAAGUAGGUCCCAAGGGUAUGGCUGUUCGCCAUUUAAAGUGGUACGCGAGCUGGGUUUAGAACGUCGUGAGACAGUUCGGUCCCUAUCUGCCGUGGGCGCUGGAGAACUGAGGGGGGCUGCUCCUAGUACGAGAGGACCGGAGUGGACGCAUCACUGGUGUUCGGGUUGUCAUGCCAAUGGCACUGCCCGGUAGCUAAAUGCGGAAGAGAUAAGUGCUGAAAGCAUCUAAGCACGAAACUUGCCCCGAGAUGAGUUCUCCCUGAGACUUAGAGUCUCCUGAAGGAACGUUGAAGACGACGACGUUGAUAGGCCGGGUGUGUAAGCGCAGCGAUGCGUUGAGCUAACCGGUACUAAUGAACCGUGAGGCUUAACCUUACAACGCCGAAG
This 1344-nucleotide ribosomal RNA is filed under the name Salmonella enterica subsp. enterica serovar Senftenberg. RNAcentral describes it as "partial 23S ribosomal RNA". It matches the Rfam family "Bacterial large subunit ribosomal RNA", at positions 1617 to 2925 of the family's 2925-position model. Lineage: Bacteria; Pseudomonadati; Pseudomonadota; Gammaproteobacteria; Enterobacterales; Enterobacteriaceae. The record is from RNAcentral.